Mustela erminea (ermine) is the source of this 309-nucleotide long non-coding RNA. RefSeq lists it as uncharacterized. The record is from RefSeq and is a predicted model, not a curated record. Lineage: Eukaryota; Metazoa; Chordata; Mammalia; Carnivora; Mustelidae. The transcript has 3 exons.
UUUCACCAUGAGAAGCAUGGCUGAAUGCCAGAGGUAACGAAGCUUGCUGGAUCCUCGGUGAUUCCCAGCACACACUGCGCUAACUCCAGCCAGCCACCUCUGUACUUUUUAUAAUGGACGUGGAAGCUUGGGGUUGCAGGAGAAUGGAAGACUGCUGCUGGGCAGGUAGCCGUGGCCUAUGGCCUGGCACCACUUCUGAUCCAGAAUGGGCUCAGUAAAAGUUUAUGGAAUUAAUGUGUUUAAAAACAAUAGACUGGGUGCAGAGACUUACCAAGCCAGGAGUCUCCAUUUCCAACAUUCGAACUUCAA